UGCGGAGACCUUGUUGUGUCCAUUAACAGUGGAUACCUGGAACAGUCGGUGUACAUCGGUGUCUCCCGAGAUUCGCCUGUGACUGUGCAUCGCCAUCAUUAUUCUUGUCGUAAUGUGGCACAACACCACGCCAUGCCGCCAGCAGCUGUGAGGGCUCUGUAUUGCAGGCAGGGACGUUACGAGAAUAUAUGUUAACGUUCCUCGUGCACGCCUCGCUGUAUCUGCACGGGGAGAACGUGUCUAGGCUGUACUGAUCGAUAAACGGAUCAAUGUGCAUCAGACCGGCCGCCACGUCCUCUUCCCUCUCAAGAAGGGGAGCACUUCCACGCCAGACUGCGUCCUUCGCCACCAGGAGUCGGCCGCCAUCUUCAACAUUGGAUGGCACAUUGUCGUCGGGACCAAUGGCGUCUGGCGGUGUUCCUCCUCGUCAUGAUGACGUGUGAGUGUGUGCUGAUCUACGUCGUGAUGGAAAGCGAGCACGCUGCUGCAAGACGGGCGGUUGUGUCCAGAUACGAGAAACGCAAAGCAGUACCUGCCUUUACGACCGCUUCACAGACCACAACAGGAAGUCUUCUCAAACAGGUUCUUCUCAGGGACAGACAGCUUUAAUGCUUCGAAGGUACACGGCUCCAUGUGUGGGGAUGCUGCUGGAUCUGCCCGUCACUGUGGAUGGGGCACAUGGCUGUCUCCAGAUCGGCCUGACUUCAAACAUCGCAAUACAAGUAGCGGCCACACGGUCUACCCUAGUGUAGACUGGACACGUCUACCUCCAUGUACAAGGUCGCUCUGGAUGAUAGAGUGCGUGGCGUAAUAUCAAAUCAUUCCUCUCCCAGCAACGAAACUGCAGUCUGACCAGACCACCACUGUCAGAGGUUGGCACUUCAGUAGCGGUAAAACAUAAGGGCCAGGAAUACCCGGAUGUGAUGGUUUUACCACUCUUGGAUUCCAUUUACCUGCAGCACAAGUGCAACACUGAAUCUCAACUACUGUGAUAAACACAUUUUCUUUCAUACAAGUGGUUUAUACAUCGGAAUGUUGAAGGCACACAACAGCAACAGCAGCAAUACAGCACAAUAUCUUCUAUCGAGGCGAAUAAUGGCACCAUAUUUUGGUUGUUGCUUUUUCUUGCAAUUUGUUAUUUCAUUUUCUUAUAUGAUUGUUUUGAUAAAGAUGUUUUUGUCUUUAACAUGAUGAUAUUCCAUUUUGUUGUGCAUCUGCCGGGCACACAGUUGUCUGAACAAUAAAGAUGAUUGGUGCAUUGGUGACAUUUACAAGAAAUACAUUUGGUUGAUGUA
This 1295-nucleotide long non-coding RNA is filed under the name Haliotis rubra (blacklip abalone). RNAcentral's name for it is "uncharacterized LOC124285232, transcript variant X2". The record is from RNAcentral. Lineage: Eukaryota; Metazoa; Mollusca; Gastropoda; Lepetellida; Haliotidae.